CUCACCAACAGAUGUCACCUCUACAGCCACGCCACCAAGGGAUGACUCAGCAGUGACAACGAGGACUACUGUUCAAGAACGGAUUCUAGAGACACUGGAGGGACUGGACAAAAAAGAGCUGAACAAAUUUCA
This is a long non-coding RNA of Coregonus clupeaformis (lake whitefish), 132 nucleotides long. RefSeq lists it as uncharacterized. The transcript has 3 exons. Lineage: Eukaryota; Metazoa; Chordata; Actinopteri; Salmoniformes; Salmonidae. The record is from RefSeq and is a predicted model, not a curated record.